This 292-nucleotide ribosomal RNA is filed under the name uncultured bacterium. RNAcentral's name for it is "partial 16S ribosomal RNA". The record is from RNAcentral.
GGACUACUGGGGUUUCUAAUCCUGUUUGCUCCCCGCACUUUCGCGCCUCAGCGUCAGUCUCUGGCUGGAAGCUCGCCUUCGCCACCGGUGUUCUUCCUGGUAUCUACAGAUUUCACCCCUACACCAGGAAUUCCAGCUUCCCCUCCGUGACUCAAGUUAGCCAGUUUCCAAUGCAGCUCCGGGGUUGAGCCCCGGCAUUUCACAUCAGACUUGAUUAACCGCCUACGCGCCCUUUACGCCCAAUAAUUCCGAACAACGCUCGCCCCUUACGUGUUACCGCGGCUGCUGGCAC